AAUCUACCUAGUAGAAGGGGAUAGCCCGGGGAAACCCGGAUUAAUACCGUAUACCUCCUUCGGGAGAAAGAAGGCCUCUCUUUGAAGCUUUCACUAUUAGAUGAGCCUGCGUAAGAUUAGCUUGUUGGUGAGGUAAAGGCUCACCAAGGCGACGAUCUUUAGCUGGUCUGAGAGGACGAUCAGCCACAUUGGGACUGAGACACGGCCCAGACUCCUACGGGAGGCAGCAGUGGGGAAUAUUGGACAAUGGGCGCAAGCCUGAUCCAGCCAUACCGCGUGUGUGAAGAAGGCCUUCGGGUUGUAAAGCACUUUAAGCAGGGAGAAAAAGUUAUAAGUUAAUACCUUAUAACCGUGAUGUUACCUGCAGAAUAAGCACCGGCGAAUUCCGUGCCAGCAGCCGCGGUAAUACGGAAGGUGCAAGCGU
Molecule: ribosomal RNA, 424 nt
Filed under: uncultured bacterium
Lineage: Bacteria
Description: bacterial SSU rRNA
Rfam family: Bacterial small subunit ribosomal RNA
Source: RNAcentral